Molecule: ribosomal RNA, 88 nt
Filed under: Desulfobacterales bacterium
Lineage: Bacteria; Pseudomonadati; Thermodesulfobacteriota; Desulfobacteria; Desulfobacterales
Source: RNAcentral
CGUUCCCAUCCCGAACACGGAAGUUAAGCUCUUUAGCGCCGAUGGUACUGCGUGGGCGACUGCGUGGGAGAGUAGGACGUUGCCGAAA